Long non-coding RNA from Solenopsis invicta (red fire ant), 598 nucleotides. RefSeq lists it as uncharacterized. The transcript is spliced from 3 exons. NCBI's taxonomy places the organism in Eukaryota, Metazoa, Arthropoda, Insecta, Hymenoptera, Formicidae. The record is from RefSeq and is a predicted model, not a curated record.
GAACUUCAUAUUAUUAAUUAAUGUAAUAAUGGUAAGUUGUACGCAAUAAUAUAAAUAUGUUAUAAUUAUUUCUAGAACCACUGACGGAAAAAAAGUAUAAAGUUUAUCAUAAGCAUUACUAAAUAAAAUAAAUUUAAUAUUGCUACAAAAUCGGUCAAACGACAAAAAUCAGAAUGAGGCAGUUGAAGAAUCAACUUUUCCUGAUUUUCCACUGACAACAAUAGAACAACUGAAAAAUUUCGAUGCUGUUUUGACCGGUGCAGAUCAAAUUCAAAGAGACUUAAUUCGACGAAUUCUGAGAAUUGGGGGAAAGAAUUCGGGGCAGUUUACUCAAAAUGUAAUGCGGUGGCUAAUUUCUGAUAGACUUGCAUUGCAAUUGUCGUGGUCGGGACAACGAAAAACAAUAAAGUUUAAAGACUUCAAAUUAUGCACAGUCAUUAUCGAAACAAUCGCUGCAAAUACUUCCGACACGGUGAACAAUAUUGGACAAGUAAUAAAGAUUUGGCUACAACAUGCCAGUGAUAGAAUAAAACAAAAAGAAAAAUAAUAUUUCAAGGUAUACAUGCGCGCGCGCGCACACACGCACACACGCACACAC